GAAAGCUGAGAGAAGGGGGAAGACAUGGACAGGGUAAGAGAGAGAGAAAGGAGAGAGAGAAGAAAGGGAAAAGAGGAGCGGGGAGAGAAAAGAGAGGCAGGAGAGAGAAUGAGGGGACAGAAGAGAGUAGGGAGACGAGAAGGCGGAGGACAGAAGAAAUGGGGGAGAGGGAAGAGGACAGAGAGGCUGCGCGCCUCCGAAUACCCCAAGUCCAGCAGAGCUGGAGGCCUGUGAGAGGAGCUGCGAGCUUGAGCAAAGGGAGAGAGGUGAGCGGAUGGAGGGAGAUUGGCAUACAACUCAGGAUUCAUAACUACAUAUAUACGGAUAGAAGUGCAUGAACAGAAAAUCUGCCCUUCUGGAAUACCAAAUGCAAAAUUAAAGUGACUACAAGCAGAAUUUGGAGAAAAAAAAUAAAAGAUGCAAUAUAGUUUUUAAAAUCAUUGUUAAAAUAUAAUGAGUCUGUACUUUGCUUAAACAAUAAAAAAGUCUUUGAUUUAUACUGAAUUCUGUUUUAUUUUGGAUAAGCUAAUAAUCUUGAAAAUGUCUUCUGUGUCAUUUUGGUUUUAUUCUAGUGAAACUCCCAUUUAUGUAGUGCAAAUUAUAUACAAAACUGUGUUCCCUAAGGGGAUCCCUUUAAUAGAAACACGCAAACUCAUUCAACUCUUGUCCUUUGUAGUAGUUAUUUAAUAAGUCUAUGCUAUACGUUCUAGGGAUAUCUGAAAUUAUGAAAUUUGUCAAUUCUUCUUACAAUUAUGAUCCUCAAUAUAACUCAGCAUAAGUCUGACUGUGCUUCUGAAGUCAGUUAGUUUAUUUAUUGUUAUCCAUGCUUAGGUGGAGAGAGAAUUUCC
This 848-nucleotide long non-coding RNA is filed under the name Pan troglodytes (chimpanzee). RNAcentral describes it as "long non-coding RNA NONPTRT007597". The record is from RNAcentral. Lineage: Eukaryota; Metazoa; Chordata; Mammalia; Primates; Hominidae.